GAGGACCUCAUGGAGUUCCGGCGGGACGCAUCCAUGUUAAAUGACGAGCUGUCCCACAUCAACGCGCGGCUGAACAUGGGCAUCCUAGGCUCCUACGACCCUCAGCAGAUCUUCAAGUGCAAAGGGACCUUUGUGGGUCACCAGGGCCCCGUGUGGUGUCUCUGCGUCUACUCCAUGGGUGACCUGCUUUUCAGCGGCUCCUCUGACAAGACCAUCAAGGUGUGGGACACAUGUACCACCUACAAGUGCCAGAAGACACUGGAGGGCCAUGAUGGCAUCGUGCUGGCUCUCUGCAUCCAGGGGUGCAAACUCUACAGCGGCUCUGCAGACUGCACCAUCAUCGUGAGUGGGGCCUACAGGCGGGUGGGUAGGAGGCGGCCCAGGCCUGCCCCAGUAUGUAGGUGCCCCAGG
RNAcentral lists this small RNA (411 nucleotides) under Pongo abelii (Sumatran orangutan). RNAcentral's name for it is "retained intron". The record is from RNAcentral. Lineage: Eukaryota; Metazoa; Chordata; Mammalia; Primates; Hominidae.